This 228-nucleotide long non-coding RNA is filed under the name Brassica napus (rape). RNAcentral describes it as "long non-coding RNA (BNAP_LNC011210)". The record is from RNAcentral. Lineage: Eukaryota; Viridiplantae; Streptophyta; Magnoliopsida; Brassicales; Brassicaceae.
GCGAAAGCAGAAAUAGGGACUUAGGGCUUCGGGUCUUCAAAAUCCCGCAGGUUAAGCCCAUCCCGCUUUCGACCCGUCCCACUUUCGACCCGUCUCACUUUGAACCCGACCCGCGAGGCCUGCAAUUUUGCGGGCUUACCAAAUGGAGGUCCAAUCCCACUCCGCAGUAAGCCUUUACGGGCCAGGCCCGCGGUCAAGGUCCUUGAUUGCCAUCCAUAUUUUCAUCAC